GAUGAACGCUGGCGGCAUGCCUAACACAUGCAAGUCGAUCGGUAAGGCUCUUCGGAGUACACGAGAGGCGGACGGCUGAGUAACGCGUAGGAACACACCCUGCAGUGAGGGAUAAGACACCGAAAGGUGUUCUAAUACCGCAUACGGUCUUCGGAUUAAAGCAUUUAUGCGCUGAAGGAGUGGCCUGCGUCAUAUUAGAUAGUUGGUGAGGUAAUGGCUCACCAAGUCGAUGAUGUGUAGCUGGUCUGAGAGGAUGAUCAGCCAGACUGGAACUGAGACACGGUCCAGACUCCUACGGGAGGCAGCAGUGAGGAAUAUUUCACAAUGGGCGAAAGCUUGAUGGAGCAAUGCCGCGUGCAGGAUGAAGGCCCUCGGGUUGUAAACUGCUUUUAUAAGAGAAGAUUAUGACGGUAACUUAUGAAUAAGGGACGGCUAACUACGUG
RNAcentral lists this ribosomal RNA (443 nucleotides) under uncultured bacterium. RNAcentral describes it as "partial 16S ribosomal RNA". It matches the Rfam family "Bacterial small subunit ribosomal RNA", at positions 28 to 507 of the family's 1533-position model. The record is from RNAcentral.